This 492-nucleotide ribosomal RNA is filed under the name uncultured bacterium. RNAcentral's name for it is "partial 16S ribosomal RNA". It matches the Rfam family "Bacterial small subunit ribosomal RNA", at positions 29 to 507 of the family's 1533-position model. The record is from RNAcentral.
AGUGAACGCUGGCGGUAGGCCUAACACAUGCAAGUCGAACGGCAGCACAGUAAGAGCUUGCUCUUACGGGUUGCGAGUGGCGGACGUGUGAGGAAUACAUCGGAAUCUACUUUUUCGUGGGGGAUAACGUAGGGAAACUUACUCUAAUACCGCAUACGACCUACGGGUGAAAGCAGUGGAUCUUCGGACCUUUCGCGAUUGAAUGAGCCGAUGUCGGAUUAGCUAGUUGGCGGGGUAAAGGCCCACCAAGUGGACGAUCCGUAGCUUGUCUGAGAGGAGGAUAGCCCACCUUGGAACGGGACCACGGUCCAGACUCCUACGGGAGGCCGCAGUGGGGAAUAUUGGACAAUGGGGGCAAGCCUGAUCCAGCCAUACCGAGUGGGUGAAGAAGGCCUUCGGGUUGUAAAGACCUUUUGUUGGGAAAGAAAAGCAGCAGGUUAAUACCCCGCUGUUCUGACGGUACCCAAAGAAUAAGCACCGGCUAACUUCGUG